This 466-nucleotide ribosomal RNA is filed under the name uncultured bacterium. RNAcentral's name for it is "SSU rRNA". It matches the Rfam family "Bacterial small subunit ribosomal RNA", at positions 26 to 518 of the family's 1533-position model. The record is from RNAcentral.
AGCCUGAACGCUGGCGGCGUGGCUAAGACAUGCAAGUCGCACGGAGGUAGCAAUACCUUAGUGGCGAACGGGUGAGUAAAGUAUCGCUAACGUACCCUUAAGUCCGGGAUAGCCAGGGGGAAACUCUGGGUAAUACCGGGUGACAUUCUUCUCUCGCAUGGGAGGAGACUCAAAGGAGCAAUCCGCUGAAGGAGCGGGCGAUAUCGUAUCAGCUAGUUGGUGAGGUAACGGCUCACCAAGGCGACGACGCGUAGCCGGACUGAGAGGUCGGUCGGCCACAUUGGGACUGAGACACUGCCCAGACUCCUACGGGGGCUGCAGUAACGAAUCUUCCGCAAUGCACGCAAGUGUGACGGAGCGACGCCGCGUGUGGGACGAAGUCCUCGGGAUGUAAACCACUGUCAGGGGUUACCAAGUUCUGAGGAACCCCAGAGGAAGGCACGGCUAACUCUGCGCCAGCAGCCGC